Molecule: ribosomal RNA, 668 nt
Filed under: Stropharia jilinensis
Lineage: Eukaryota; Fungi; Basidiomycota; Agaricomycetes; Agaricales; Strophariaceae
Description: eukaryotic LSU rRNA
Rfam family: 5.8S ribosomal RNA (bases 276-429)
Source: RNAcentral
CUUCCGUAAGGGGCCUGCGGAAGGAUCAUUAUUGAAUAAACCUGGCUUGGUUGUUGCUGGUCUUUUUGUGGACAUGUGCACGCCUUGUCAUCUUUAUAUCUCCACCUGUGCACUAAUUGUAGACCUGGGGAAAUUUUUUUUGAGGCGACUCAGUUGUGAGGACUUGCUUUUAAUGGGGCUGUCCUUGUACAUUUUCCAGGUUUAUGUCUUUCAUAUACACCGUAAAAAAGUAAUAGAAUGUGAUCAUAAGACUUAUUGUCUUAUAAACUAUAUACAACUUUCAGCAACGGAUCUCUUGGCUCUCGCAUCGAUGAAGAACGCAGCGAAAUGCGAUAAGUAAUGUGAAUUGCAGAAUUCAGUGAAUCAUCGAAUCUUUGAACGCACCUUGCGCUCCUUGGUAUUCCGAGGAGCAUGCCUGUUUGAGUGUCAUUAAUUUCUCAACCUUUAUCAGCUUUUGUUGAUAAAUGGCUUGGAUGUGGAAGUUGCUGGUUUCUAAUUUGAAAUGAGCUCUUCUAAAAUACAUUAGCUGGUUGCCUUGUGUAAACAUGUCUAUUGGUGUGAUAAUUGUCUACGCCAUAACGUGUUUAUUGUUGAGCACUGCUUCUAAUCGUCUGUCUAGUCAGACAUCUAUUAUGAUAACUGACCUCAAAUCAGGUUGCAUGCCCAGU